This 806-nucleotide ribosomal RNA is filed under the name uncultured bacterium. RNAcentral describes it as "bacterial SSU rRNA". It matches the Rfam family "Bacterial small subunit ribosomal RNA", at positions 8 to 797 of the family's 1533-position model. The record is from RNAcentral.
AGAGUUUGAUCCUGGCUCAGGACGAACGCUGGCGGCGUGCUUAACACAUGCAAGUGGAGCGACGAACCAGGCUUCGGCCUGGGGCAGAGCCGCGAACGGGUGAGUAACACGUGGGUAACCUGCCCUGAUGACCGGGACAACCCGAGGAAACUCGGGCUAAUACCGGAUGCGCACACCCCACAUCAGUGGGAUGUGUAAAGGUAGCUUCGGCCUCCGCAUCAGGAUGGGCCCGCGGCCCAUUAGCUUGUUGGUGAGGUAACGGCUCACCAAGGCGACGAUGGGUAGCUGGUCUGAGAGGACGAUCAGCCACACUGGGACUGAGACACGGCCCAGACUCCUACGGGAGGCAGCAGUGGGGAAUCUUGCGCAGUGCGCGAAAGCGUGACGCAGCAACGCCGCGUGGGGGAAGACGGCCUUCGGGUUGUAAACCUCUUUCAGUUGGGACGAAGCCUUGGCGGUUAAUAGCCGCACGAGGUGACGGUACCUUCAGAAGAAGCCCCGGCUAACUACGUGCCAGCAGCCGCGGUAAUACGUAGGGGGCAAGCGUUGUCCGGAAUCAUGGGGCGUAAAGAGCGCGUAGGCGGUCCGGUAAGUCUGCUGUGAAAGUCACGGGCUCAGCCCCUNGGAUGCACGGUGGGAUACUGCCGGGGCUAGAGUUCCGGAAGAGGCGAGUGGAAUUCCUGGUGUAGCGGUGAAAUGCGCAAAUAUCAGGAAGACAGCCAUUGCGAAGGCAGCUCGCUAGGACGGUCCUGACACUGAGGCCCGAAGCCGUGGGGAACAACAUGAUGGAAUACCCUGGUAUUCAU